This 1317-nucleotide long non-coding RNA is filed under the name Homo sapiens (human). Its description in RNAcentral is "HSALNT0202058". Lineage: Eukaryota; Metazoa; Chordata; Mammalia; Primates; Hominidae. The record is from RNAcentral.
UAACGUUAAAGAAUUGUAGCAUAAAAGGAGUUGUUUGGGUUGUUUUUUUUUUCCCUCACAAGUUGGCAUGUAACAUUACUGUGAUGGAGAGUUCAUAAGAAUUUUGACUGAGACUAAGCUGUUUAAAUCUGUUACACCAUUCACAGCAAAAGUACAGGUGAGGAAAAGAAACCAUCUAUUUCCUGGUGAUUAGUCCUUUGGUAUAAAAUGCACUACAAAAACGGAGGACUCACGUGAUUUAUGUCAUGGAAGAAAAUAGUGGCUAAGAUGAAGCAAGAAUCCUUAGUUUGGUAUUAAUAGAAAUACUAGAAAUAAUUAUUUUGUACUUUAUAAGUCAUGUUCUAAAUAGUUCCCCAGAUAUCAAUAUAUCCUUAGUUUUCUAGCACGUAUUUACAUGUUAUCAGAACAUUCUUUUUUAUGAGCUUUCAUUUUAAUCUUUGAGCAUCUUAACAACAAAUAUGUUUCCUGCAUAUCUCUUUUGACAAGUACUUUGAAGUUAACCAUUUUCCAAUUACGUUAGAAUUAUUCUGGGUAGACUUUCCCUUUGACAAUGCACAUUCUUAUAAUUAAUUUCUUGCAGGAUACAAAAAUUACAUAGAAAAGCAACAUUUUAAAAAGACAAAAGGGGUCUCCCACGUUCUUUCUGUGCCCUCACCCCAGUCUCAUUUCAAGAGAGUAGUCGCUAUUACCCACAAUGUCAUGCCUUUUCAAAUGCCAGUAAUUAUAUGCUUAAGAAGAUUAAAGCUUUAUUUGCUCAGAUCUUAAGUCCAUGGGACUUCUAUUAGUAACUAAUCAAAAUGAUCAUUACUGUUAGAAGGUGGGAAAUGGUAGAACAUUGCUUUUGAAAACUAUAUUUGGCACCAUUAAUACAAAGGCUGGGAUCGUUGUGAUGAGUGCUGGUCAUGCUAACCAUGUUCCCGCAUGGCUGGUGAUUAUGUCCUGGGUUGGGUUCUGCACGGUAGCCUGCUUUGGGUUAGGGACAGUCACACCUGGUCUGUCCUGACUUCUUUCUGGGCCCUCCUAACCAAACCAGGGGAGGGGAGAAGGACCCAAUUCUUUUCCUUUGGUGCACGUAGCCUGGACCCGUUAUGGACAGAGGCCAAAGGAAGAUAACAGUGUGGUGUCCAGAGAUGAAACCAAGUGGUUGAUGGGCAGUUCUUUGAGCAACCUUGUUUAUGAGCCUAUUGAUAUGCAGAUAUAGAGGCAUCCAAUACUAUUGACUAAUUUAAAAUCUUAUUCAGUGAGUCAACACUCUAAAUAAGCAAUGGAGAUGGUUCCAUUCAUUUUUUUGCAAGUAUCAUUUUUAUAAACAUAAAU